Non-coding RNA from Oryza sativa Japonica Group (Japanese rice), 3325 nucleotides. Lineage: Eukaryota; Viridiplantae; Streptophyta; Magnoliopsida; Poales; Poaceae. The record is from RefSeq and is a predicted model, not a curated record.
CAGUUUACAUAAGCAAGCAUUCCCAUUCAAACGGUCAUCAUCGUCAUCUAUAUCUAUACUAAUAUAAAAAGCACGAGUUCAUCAAAUACCUAUCUUUACUGACCUUUAAAUAUAUUCAUCCAACGAUUUAUAUCAAAAGUUAGAUCAACCUCUGCAAUUAGCCAUCCCCACGUUCGAUUAGCAGCGGUUAUAGCGAUAUAGCGAUCGAUCACGAGAAAGAAGCAGAAAAGAAAAAAAAAACUUCUCUCCCGUGCGCUAGCCCGUCGCCGCCUCCCGGAGCCGCUCGCUGCCUCCUUGCACGCGCCCGCCGGACCGCCGGGCGCCGCCGCCAACUCCGAGCGCGCACCCGCCGCAGCCGCGCCCCCUACCCCGCCACCUCCUCGCGCGUGCCCGACGCUCGCCCUACCCCGCCGCUGCCGCCUCCUCGCGGCCGCCGGUGAGUCAGGUUCGCCGUCGGCUGGCGCCUUCUCCACCACCGCCGCCGCCUCCUCGCGCGUGGCCUCUGGAGUUUUGGGAUCGCCGUCGGCCGGCUCCUCCUCGCGUGCGCCCGCCGGGGAGCUGUGGUGGGUUACGGCACUACGCAGUACAGACUCCAGGUUAAGGCACAGGGAGGCAACAAUCCAAUACAGGAGAGAUGGGAUGGGAUCCUAGCUCAAGGGAGCCCUAGCGGCAGCUACGGUCGGGAGGACCUAAGCCCUACAGGCAAGUUCUAUAAUCAACCCCCUUUUGCUUACCGGCGAUAAGUCAACCAACUUCCAGUGAUGCAGGUACUGAUCCUCUCCUCCCUCCCUCUCCCUCCCUCUUUAUCAUGACAUUAGCUGAUUGAUCACCAGCUUUUUAUUCCGAUUGCUCCAGUGAACUUUGUUCACAAAAUAGUGUUUUUUUCAUUUUCUGAUGCUUGUGCCUAUCGUGUGACUCCUCCACCGACAUGUACAUUGAUAUCUGCCCAACUGAUUGAUGAAAUGAUCGUUUACAUUUUUUUUUGUUCAAUCAAUAGUUUCUGAUCAGCUUGGAGUGGUCCGUGCCAUGUUGCUGUGAUAAUGCUACAGGUUAAUCCUCCUGGCUCUCUGUACUGAAACAAUUUCUCCGGAUCUCUUUCCCUUUUGUUUUGGACCUUAUACAACCUGCUGUUGGCUAAUAAUGACAUUCAUGAAUAAUAGAUCAUGUUAAAGCUGUUUGCAUGGUCUGCUGUUGUCAAAUAGUUUUAUGCAGUCACAACUCUUAUUAAAUGAUCAGGUUGACUUCAAGCAUUGGGCUAAAAACUAAGAUUAUGUAAGUUAAAUAACAUAUAUGCCGUCAUCUUCAAUUUAAGUGAUAUUGUGUCAAUCUUCUGAUCAACUGUUUACAUCUUCGGAUUAUAUAGAUUCAUGUCACAUGUGUAUGUCUUCGGAAUUAUCUAUGUUUAUGUUACUGUGUAUGUCUUCAGAUUUAUAUAUAUUUAGGUUACCUGUGUAUAUCUUGAGAUAUUUCGUAAUUGCAUAUUAUUACAGAUGGCAAAGAUGUUUAAUUCUAUUUUUUUAUUGGAUAUCCCUCAGCGAUAUGCCCUGCCCGGCCUUGUCAGCUAAUAUGCAAUAUCAGUUUUAUGCCCUUGACAUGGCAUACAUUCCUCCAGGCUGCACUCACUUACGCUUUUACUGUAGAUUGAUAGGUUAAUGUUCCAUUGUCAAGGUGAACCAAUCAGCUAAUGAUGGUUCAUAUAGUUAUAAUUUGAGUGCAACUAUGUAUCCACUAUGAUGUAGAAUUGUGGGUAUUUAUAGAUGCAAUUUAAAAGGUAUGCCACUUAGGAAUCGACACUCAGGCACAUGCACCUAGGCUUGAUGGGUAAGUCUGGCCAAUUUACAUAUGGGGAACACAAAUUAAUUUAAUCAGUUAUUCCAAUUUAUUCUUCUUUGUUUCUAUGCACUGCAAUGCCAAUUUGAGUGCGUAUCUUGUCAUGCUAUUCAGCAUAAUGUCUUGGCAGGCUAUGCAUAUGUUCAUGCUUAUAUAUGCAGCAUUCAUAUAAGUAAGGAUUAAUUGGAUUGCUUGCUUUGUCUAAUGCAGCCUCACCAUUUAAUUUGUGGCGAGCACCUUAAUUCCAUCUUGCCAUUAUCGAGGGAGUAUAUCAUAUGCACCUAAUUCUGUAUAUAGAGUAUUUAUUGACUAGGGUCUUGGAAAUUUUUGAAUUGCUGUCAGAUGUAAGUUCCUCAGAUUGAUGAUUUGAUUACUUUCACAGCUAAUACCAUUGAUCACAGCUAAACACCACUUAUAGAAGUUUAAUGGAUUUUUAUCUAAAAAAGGGAAAAAAGGAAAUUAAUAACUGAAACUGCAUAGUAGUACUAUGAUCUCUGAACAAAGAAAUUUGCUGAGUUUCCUAGCAGCUGCUGGGUGCAUUUUCCUCUUGUUAUGUGUGCCUAACCUUGCAUCCAUUAAAUUUCAAAAGUGCAAAUAGAGAACUAUUGCAUGCAUUCCUUUUAUAUCAAAGAUUGGGAUGAAAUUUCCAGCUUAAUCCUGACAGCCGCAAUGUGUCUUGAGCAAAAGGAAGCAAGGCUGCAACUGAAACACGGUGAAUAGUAAAUAAAAAUCUCGCUUUUAGGAAAAAAAAGGUGAGUCGUGCACAAGUGCUGUAAUCUGGUUUUGGCAAAUUUUUAUCAAGAUAUACAACUCCGUUGCUUUGUUUACACAAUAAACCUGAACUCUAGGUGUAGCAGCUUGAAGCAUUAAAAAAGAAGAUGGCAGCAAACAGAUGUUUGCUUUAUUGGAUUUAAUACUUGGAUAUUCCACUGUGCUUCCCAAAUUGAGCUGAAUAAAUAGCUUGACGAAUUGUUCUCUUAACAUGUCUCAGUUGUCCUUUGUAUCAAAUGAGCAGCAUAAUCCAUUCAUGGAUUGUUCUUUUCCACUGGUGAUACAGAUAGUUACUUCUAAUGUUUCAUGGAAAAGUUCGAGCUACAAAAAUUUCUUAAGCAAGCUUACGGAUUGUUUCUGAUGAGUUUAGCAACUCUAUGGAAACAAGCAUAAGUGCUUCUCAUCUGACCAGUUCCAAGAGAGAAGUAGCCAAGUAGGUAGAACAAUCCCAAAACUGCAAACUUCUUUUACUGUAUAUAUAUAUAUACUUUCCUUUUUAGCAUUUUCUGUAAAGUCCCAGUUCUGUAUUGCAAUUGGCAUGGUUGUGUUCAUCAGAAUAUUGAAUGUCAAAUCGAAAGGAGGCGCCAACCUAUAGCUAUCAACGACAUGGACACCAUGGUUCAGAUUCAUAAAUUUGGGGAUCAUGGAUGUCUAGGUUCAGAAAUUUUUGGAUUUUAGGCAACAAAUUUUGUAGAAUUUCCAAUUUAGAAAAACACAUUUUGCA